Molecule: ribosomal RNA, 532 nt
Filed under: uncultured euryarchaeote
Lineage: Archaea; Methanobacteriati; Methanobacteriota
Description: bacterial SSU rRNA
Rfam family: Archaeal small subunit ribosomal RNA
Source: RNAcentral
CGCGCAGCAGGCGCGAAAACUGCACAAUGUGGGAAACCACGAUGCGGGAAGCCCAAGUGCCAGCACUAUGUGUUGGCUGUCCUCCAGUGUUUACAACUGGGGAAGAAAGAGCUGGGUAAGACGGGUGCCAGCCGCCGCGGUAAUACCCGCAGCUCAAGUGGUGGUCAUUAUUAUUGGGCCUAAAGCGUCCGUAGCAGGCUUGUUAGAUGCCUGGGUAAAUCGAUGCGCUUAACGCAUCGAAUUCCGGGUAGACCGGCAAGCUCGAGACCGGGAGAGGCGUGAGCUACUCAAGGGGUAGGGGUAAAAUCCUGUAAUCCUUUGGGGAGGACCAGUGGCGAAGGCGUCACGCUAGAACGGCUCUGACUGUGAGGGACGAAGCCCUGGGGCGCAAACCGGAUUAGAUACCCGGGUAGUCCAGGGUGUAAACGCUGCAGACUUGGUGUCGCUGAUCCUACGAGGGUUGGCGGUGCCGGAGAGAAGUUGUUGAGUCUGCCGCCUGGGGAGUACGGUCGCAAGACUGAAACUUAAAGGA